AGAGUUUGAUCCUGGCUCAGGAUGAACGCUGGCGGCGUGCCUAAUACAUGCAAGUCGAGCGAACUGAUUAGAAGCUUGCUUCUAUGACGUUAGCGGCGGACGGGUGAGUAACACGUGGGCAACCUGCCUGUAAGACUGGGAUAACUUCGGGAAACCGAAGCUAAUACCGGAUAGGAUCUUCUCCUUCAUGGGAGAUGAUUGAAAGAUGGUUUCGGCUAUCACUUACAGAUGGGCCCGCGGUGCAUUAGCUAGUUGGUGAGGUAACGGCUCACCAAGGCAACGAUGCAUAGCCGACCUGAGAGGGUGAUCGGCCACACUGGGACUGAGACACGGCCCAGACUCCUACGGGAGGCAGCAGUAGGGAAUCUUCCGCAAUGGACGAAAGUCUGACGGAGCAACGCCGCGUGAGUGAUGAAGGCUUUCGGGUCGUAAAACUCUGUUGUUAGGGAAGAACAAGUACGAGAGUAACUGCUCGUACCUUGACGGUACCUAACCAGAAAGCCACGGCUAACUACGUGCCAGCAGCCGCGGUAAUACGUAGGUGGCAAGCGUUAUCCGGAAUUAUUGGGCGUAAAGCGCGCGCAGGCGGUUUCUUAAGUC
Molecule: ribosomal RNA, 600 nt
Filed under: uncultured marine bacterium
Lineage: Bacteria
Description: bacterial SSU rRNA
Rfam family: Bacterial small subunit ribosomal RNA
Source: RNAcentral